RNAcentral lists this long non-coding RNA (1582 nucleotides) under Homo sapiens (human). RNAcentral describes it as "HSALNT0071679". The record is from RNAcentral. Lineage: Eukaryota; Metazoa; Chordata; Mammalia; Primates; Hominidae.
UCCUUUUGGUCAUUAGAGCCAAUGAAAACAUUUGCAAACUAUUUCACUAUAGCAUACUAAUGAGAGAAAUAGUUGCAUAAGAAAAAAAGUAAGAUCAAUAGGUAAAUAGACAUACUAUAAACAGUACAAUAAGUAGUAUCACAUUCCUAAGUUUGUUCAUGUGUUUGUUAAUACAAAAGUGCAUUAAGGAUCUAGUACAUGCCAAGCAUUGCGAAGCACUGGAAAUACACAUUUUUGUGUGGUGAAAACAAAAUCACUGCAAAACAAUAAUAAUCAAAAAGAGUAAAUUGACAACCACUCAUUUUAUAUACUUUAGCAACAAUCCAUAUAUUCUUGGGCCGGGCCCUGUGCUAGAAAACAGAGCUAUGAUUAUUAAAUAAGACUCUGUUCCUGACCCUGAGUGACUCAGUUUAGCUAGGGAGACCAGCAUAGCAGUAAUCAUCUACAAGUUAAAGUAUUAGAGCUAAUAAUAAAAAGUUAACAUUUAUUGCUUACUCACUCAUGUAUCAAGUACUGUGUUACAUGAGCACAUGUAUGUGUGUUUUAAAAGCCUCAUAACCUAAUUACUAUUUCCAUCUUAUACAUACAUCAGGGAAAACUGAAGUACGAAGAAAUUAACUAACCUGUCUGAAGUCACACUGCUAGUAAGUGAUGGAGCCAGGAUUGAUUCCAGGCCUGACUCCAGGCCUGAUUCCAGAUCCCAAGCUCCUAUUACACUGUACUAAAUAAUAACACUGGGAGCAAAAAUGAGACAGCCAUUUUGCUCAUGAGAUCUAGAAAAUUUCACUGAGGAUAUAAUAUCUAAGGUAGGUCUGCAUAUGAUGAGCCUUCCAGGUAGAUAAUGAAGAGUGUCUAGACAGAAAACACAACAUCAGCAAAGUCAGACAGCCUGCAAAGUGUGCACUGGCACUAUGGUAUAGCUAGCACAGAAGCUGCAAAAAGGGUAGGGUUGGUAAUGAGGCUGGAAAGACAGGCAGAAAUCAGGUUGUUAAAAAUCUUAUAUGCUAGCUUAAGGAACUUCAAUUCAAUAACAACCAAUACUGUCUACUAUUACAUGCCUACUCUGUGCCAGGCAUUGAAGUGUAUAUGACAAUGAGCUGGGAACAAACAGUAUUUGCCUUCAGUGGACUUACGUUUGGUAGUGAGGUGAUAUAGGUAAAUUAAGUAGGCAAUUACAACACUCGGCUACCACAGAGCAAAGUAAAGAUUUUGGGUUUCUUUUUCCUGUGAGUGCACAAAGGAAGGGCACCUGGCCGGGCGCGGUGGCUCACCCACAAGUUCUGGAAUUUUAAGCCAAAAAUAUAAUCUAUUUCAACACUCAAUGGCAUUACUCAACAGAGAUGACUCCACUGGUACAGAAUUAUAUAAAUGAGUGUGACCUCCCAAAAUAAUCCAAUAAUAAUUACAAUUUAAACUGAGAUACUAAAAAUGAAGGAAUAUGCCAGUGAACAAAGUUUUAGUUUUCAAAAGGAAAUCACCUUAUUUUCAUGACUAAGAAAAACAAUUACAUUCAUGCAUUCCCUUUUGGUUUGGCACCUCAACUAUGAACAUGUCCUUUGACUUAAGAUUAAUUAUGCUUUAU